Molecule: non-coding RNA, 91 nt
Organism: Chelonoidis abingdonii (Abingdon island giant tortoise)
Lineage: Eukaryota; Metazoa; Chordata; Testudines; Testudinidae
Source: RefSeq, a predicted model, not a curated record
UGCCCUUCACUUGUGACCCCCCUGGGGGCUGCAACCCCCGGGUUGAGAAACAUUGAGCUAGAUGAGAUGAGUACUGCCUGGAAGACCUCUG